This 81-nucleotide small nucleolar RNA is filed under the name Hippocampus comes (tiger tail seahorse). RNAcentral's name for it is "Small nucleolar RNA SNORD111 (ENSHCOG00000010750.1)". The record is from RNAcentral. Lineage: Eukaryota; Metazoa; Chordata; Actinopteri; Syngnathiformes; Syngnathidae.
GCAGCAGAAAUGAUGAGCGUUUUCAUGUCUCUUCUCUGAUGAAAACACAAUGAAGAGCACAGGUUUAACUCUGAUCUCCGC